AUCUCAGAAGCACAGUGGUUAGUGCACAGCCCCGGAUACGUUGAGACGCGGGUUCGAAUCCCGUUUGAGACG
RNAcentral lists this transfer RNA (72 nucleotides) under Nippostrongylus brasiliensis. It matches the Rfam family "tRNA". Rfam says of the family: Transfer RNA (tRNA) molecules are approximately 80 nucleotides in length. The record is from Rfam by way of RNAcentral. Lineage: Eukaryota; Metazoa; Nematoda; Chromadorea; Rhabditida; Heligmosomidae.